GGUUAAGCGACUAAGCGUACACGGUGGAUGCCCUGGCAGUCAGAGGCGAUGAAGGGCGUGCUAAUCUGCGAUAAGCGCCGGUAAGGUGAUAUGAACCGUUAUAACCGGCGAUACCCGAAUGGGGAAACCCAGUGUGACUCGUCACACUAUCAUUAACUGAAUCCAUAGGUUAAUGAGGCGAACCGGGGGAACUGAAACAUCUAAGUACCCCGAGGAAAAGAAAUCAACCGAGAUUCCCCCAGUAGCGGCGAGCGAACGGGGAGGAGCCCAGAGCCUGAAUCAGCAUGUGUGUUAGUGGAAGCGUCUGGAAAGGCGCGCGAUACAGGGUGACAGCCCCGUACACAAAAGCGCAUGUGCUGUGAGCUCGAUGAGUAGGGCGGGACACGUGGUAUCCUGUCUGAAUAUGGGGGGACCAUCCUCCAAGGCUAAAUACUCCUGACUGACCGAUAGUGAACCAGUACCGUGAGGGAAAGGCGAAAAGAACCCCGGCGAGGGGAGUGAAAAAGAACCUGAAACCGUGUACGUACAAGCAGUGGGAGCACCCUUCGGGGUGUGACUGCGUACCUUUUGUAUAAUGGGUCAGCGACUUAUAUUCUGUAGCAAGGUUAACCGAAUAGGGGAGCCGGAGGGAAACCGAGUCUUAAUUGGGCGUUAAGUUGCAGGGUAUAGACCCGAAACCCGGUGAUCUAGCCAUGGGCAGGUUGAAGGUUGGGUAACACUAACUGGAGGACCGAACCGACUAAUGUUGAAAAAUUAGCGGAUGACCUGUGGCUGGGGGUGAAAGGCCAAUCAAACCGGGAGAUAGCUGGUUCUCCCCGAAAGCUAUUUAGGUAGCGCCUCGUGAAUUCAUCUCCGGGGGUAGAGCACUGUUUCGGCUAGGGGGCCAUCCCGGCUUACCAACCCGAUGCAAACUGCGAAUACCGGAGAAUGUUAUCACGGGAGACACACGGCGGGUGCUAACGUCCGUCGUGAAGAGGGAAACAACCCAGACCGCCAGCUAAGGUCCCAAAGUCAUGGUUAAGUGGGAAACGAUGUGGGAAGGCCCAGACAGCCAGGAUGUUGGCUUAGAAGCAGCCAUCAUUUAAAGAAAGCGUAAUAGCUCACUGGUCGAGUCGGCCUGCGCGGAAGAUGUAACGGGGCUAAACCAUGCACCGAAGCUGCGGCAGCGACACUAUGUGUUGUUGGGUAGGGGAGCGUUCUGUAAGCCUGUGAAGGUGUGUCGUGAGGCAUGCUGGAGGUAUCAGAAGUGCGAAUGCUGACAUAAGUAACGAUAAAGCGGGUGAAAAGCCCGCUCGCCGGAAGACCAAGGGUUCCUGUCCAACGUUAAUCGGGGCAGGGUGAGUCGACCCCUAAGGCGAGGCCGAAAGGCGUAGUCGAUGGGAAACGGGUUAAUAUUCCCGUACUUGGUGUUACUGCGAAGGGGGGACGGAGAAGGCUAUGUUAGCCGGGCGACGGUUGUCCCGGUUUAAGCGUGUAGGUGUGUGUUCCAGGUAAAUCCGGUUCACUUUAACACUGAGGCGUGACGACGAGGCACUACGGUGCUGAAGCAACAAAUGCCCUGCUUCCAGGAAAAGCCUCUAAGCAUCAGGUAACAUCAAAUCGUACCCCAAACCGACACAGGUGGUCAGGUAGAGAAUACCAAGGCGCUUGAGAGAACUCGGGUGAAGGAACUAGGCAAAAUGGUGCCGUAACUUCGGGAGAAGGCACGCUGACACGUAGGUGAAGUGAUUUACUCACGGAGCUGAAGUCAGUCGAAGAUACCAGCUGGCUGCAACUGUUUAUUAAAAACACAGCACUGUGCAAACACGAAAGUGGACGUAUACGGUGUGACGCCUGCCCGGUGCCGGAAGGUUAAUUGAUGGGGUCAGCGCAAGCGAAGCUCCUGAUCGAAGCCCCGGUAAACGGCGGCCGUAACUAUAACGGUCCUAAGGUAGCGAAAUUCCUUGUCGGGUAAGUUCCGACCUGCACGAAUGGCGUAAUGAUGGCCAGGCUGUCUCCACCCGAGACUCAGUGAAAUUGAACUCGCUGUGAAGAUGCAGUGUACCCGCGGCAAGACGGAAAGACCCCGUGAACCUUUACUAUAGCUUGACACUGAACAUUGAGCCUUGAUGUGUAGGAUAGGUGGGAGGCUUUGAAGCGUGGACGCCAGUCUGCGUGGAGCCGACCUUGAAAUACCACCCUUUAAUGUUUGAUGUUCUAACGUGGACCCGUAAUCCGGGUUGCGGACAGUGUCUGGUGGGUAGUUUGACUGGGGCGGUCUCCUCCUAAAGAGUAACGGAGGAGCACGAAGGUUGGCUAAUCCUGGUCGGACAUCAGGAGGUUAGUGCAAUGGCAUAAGCCAGCUUGACUGCGAGCGUGACGGCGCGAGCAGGUGCGAAAGCAGGUCAUAGUGAUCCGGUGGUUCUGAAUGGAAGGGCCAUCGCUCAACGGAUAAAAGGUACUCCGGGGAUAACAGGCUGAUACCGCCCAAGAGUUCAUAUCGACGGCGGUGUUUGGCACCUCGAUGUCGGCUCAUCACAUCCUGGGGCUGAAGUAGGUCCCAAGGGUAUGGCUGUUCGCCAUUUAAAGUGGUACGCGAGCUGGGUUUAGAACGUCGUGAGACAGUUCGGUCCCUAUCUGCCGUGGGCGCUGGAGAACUGAGGGGGGCUGCUCCUAGUACGAGAGGACCGGAGUGGACGCAUCACUGGUGUUCGGGUUGUCAUGCCAAUGGCACUGCCCGGUAGCUAAAUGCGGAAGAGAUAAGUGCUGAAAGCAUCUAAGCACGAAACUUGCCCCGAGAUGAGUUCUCCCUGAGACUUAGAGUCUCCUGAAGGAACGUUGAAGACGACGACGUUGAUAGGCCGGGUGUGUAAGCGCAGCGAUGCGUUGAGCUAACCGGUACUAAUGAACCGUGAGGCUUAACCUU
RNAcentral lists this ribosomal RNA (2905 nucleotides) under Salmonella enterica. RNAcentral's name for it is "23S ribosomal RNA". It matches the Rfam family "Bacterial large subunit ribosomal RNA". Lineage: Bacteria; Pseudomonadati; Pseudomonadota; Gammaproteobacteria; Enterobacterales; Enterobacteriaceae. The record is from RNAcentral.